This 270-nucleotide ribosomal RNA is filed under the name unidentified marine bacterioplankton. RNAcentral describes it as "partial 16S ribosomal RNA". It matches the Rfam family "Bacterial small subunit ribosomal RNA", at positions 43 to 339 of the family's 1533-position model. The record is from RNAcentral. RNAcentral also lists the same sequence under 1 other name.
CAGGCCUAACACAUGCAAGUCGAGCGCUGUAGCAAUACAGAGCGGCGCACGGGUGAGUAACACGUGGGAACGUGUCCAACGGUUCGGAAUAACUCAGGGAAACUUGAGCUAAUACCGGAUACGCCCUUUCGAGGGGAAAGAUUUAUCGCCGAUGGAGCGGCCCGCGUCCGAUUAGCUUGUUGGUGAGGUAAAAGCUCACCAAGGCAACGAUCGGUAGCUGGUUUGAGAGAACGAUCAGCCACACUGGGACUGAGACACGGCCCAGACUCC